Molecule: long non-coding RNA, 5672 nt
Organism: Lolium perenne
Lineage: Eukaryota; Viridiplantae; Streptophyta; Magnoliopsida; Poales; Poaceae
Source: RefSeq, a predicted model, not a curated record
CGAGGCCCCUCGCCUCCGCCCCGUGGAUUGAGCUUGUCCCUGGACGGAUUCGGGAGGAGGUGGGCUCGAAGGGGCGGAGAAGGUGGUCCUGGCCAGGAGCGUGUCCCAGCGGAGAGAGGCAGCGAGAGGAGGGCAGGGAUAGGGCGGACAAAGAUCCUCUGUGUGGCGGUAAUGGGAGGGCAGGGACGGGGCGGACCGAGCUCCUCUGUGGCGCUGAGCUCCUCCGGCGGCAUGGCAGCUCUGACAUCUUCAUCGUCCCUCAAAGAACUCCACAAACAGACAAGGAGGAUUGGGACGGGAUGGAGGAGAAAGCAUGUGUCCUCAGCCACGAAGAUGGGGAGGAUGCAAAGACGGCUUCUUCAUCUAGGACCUGCAGAUGUUUGCAUCAUUGGUUGGAGAUGUGUGUGAAGGUCGGUGGUUUGCUGGGUAACAGAGGCUGACGUGAGCUGCCAAUGGCGGAGGUUCAAGAGGAGCGCGCCGUCGCAGCCUCCAGGAGUAGCCUCAGUCGAUGCCGUCACCAUCCCCAUAGUUCUCUGCUACAUAGAUACUUCAUGACCUACUCAUCCUCUCGGUGUCACCAAGGAUGCCAGCCAGUAGUGCAACAAUCUCUUCUUCGAAGAAGACCAUUAGGUUCUCUCUCUCUUGAAGUAUCUUGUGUGGAGUCCCUGCUCAACGCUAGUGUGCUCUAGAGCUCUCCGCCACGACCGACAAAGUGGGAGACCUGCAGCCCUGCAUACUGGCUACCACAUCCUCCCAUCAGCACUUAGGAAACUGAAGAAUUGUUCAACAUGACCGAAAUAAAGGUGUAUCUACUUGACGAAUGUGGUAGCAGAGGGCAUACUUGUUGUAGAAGCACAUUCUAUUUUCUGAGGACGCCAUUCAUGCUUGCUGACACAAGCAAAUAAUGAUUCGAGUGCAAAAAGACAUGCCAAAGAUCCUCCGAUGACACUAUACUGAUAACAAACGUUCUCUGAUUGGUAGCUUCAGGUGUAUUAUGGUACUCUAGCUUUUAAAAUUUUCAAAAAGCAAUUUUUAGUAGAGUUAUGUUACUGUCAAUAACGAUCAUAUCAUUUGAACACCAGAAUGGAAAUCUCACCUGAUAUGCAUGCCUGUAGAUAGACCAUCUGGUAGCUGAUUCAUCAAGAAAGGAUUGCAUUUUACAUAGAUAGAUAAGGAAAAUGCAUUGUUAAAUCCGUGAGUGAUUCAAAAUGGGAUUUUAUUUUACUGCCUACCUUCCCUCGGAUCUGUGUAUGCUAACUGCUAUUCUAACAAAAAAAAUGCAGCUACAAUGUUCUUUUUCAAGAUAAUGAGCAUUGGCCAUGCUAGAACAUGCAGCUAAAUUUGGUGAUGCAGCUUGACAGUAGAAUAUGACAUCCUAUCAAUCUUUUGGUAUUUUGUUCAUGGUCUGCUUUCUUUAUCAGUAACGUGGGUUAGUAAUAGUGGCAUACAUGGACUAGAUGGUGGAUUAGGUGUCGCAAAUGCUGAGAUGCAUAUGCUUAUUAUUAUUAUUAUAUCAAGGUACAUAUUGAUAUGUUUGCUUCCAUCAUUUGCAGGUGACCCUCAUUUUCACUUUCCAGCGUUACUUUUUGUUGAAAGAAUCAAUCCUGAACUUGCACUAUUUAUAGCGAUUCUAUCCAGCAAGUUAGUCAUAAGUCAUAGCAUUCAUUGUUCCAGUCUUGGAUAAAGGACUUAUCUUUUCCCCUUUCAUGUAGUUUCACUCUUAAUCACAAUAUCACUUCUCUGGACAUAGUUCACAUAAAUAAUUAGCUCUCAUUUUUAGUUUCUUUUAGCUCUAUUUUUCAAGUUGUUUUCUGAUUUAGAUUUAGCUUGCCAGUUAUGUUCAUGUUUUCUUCGAUGCUUAUACUAAUAAUCGCACAAAGUAUUAUUCUUUGGUUGUCUAUUUUCUUCCUUGGCUGCACUUUAUCUACCUUUUUUUUUUCUCUAAUUACCUAUUGUUUCGUACUCAUGGAUUAUUUGUGAUUAGAAAUAUGGAGCCAGAACAAUAAAGUGUGUUGCUGCCCAUUUAUUCAUUUGGUGUUGUGCACAUGUCCUUGAACGAAGUGUAAUCAUCUUAAAUCCAUUUCAUUUUACAAGACUGCUCUUAUUUUGCACAAAUCACUGACACGUGCUUAUUCAAGUUCACAUCAAUAUCAUAUUCGACCCACCUUUUUCAGAUUUUAUAUUAUGGAGCCCAGUUGCUCUAUUUUGGAUUUAAUCCUAUUGGCAUGCUCUUUCUCCUACUUGAAAUCACUAUGCGAGUCAUGAGUACUGAGUAGUAUGGCGUGUUUUAUAAUACAUACCUGAUAAAGAUUAUGCUCACCUAUUUUUGUAUGAAUUAGCCAAUGGAAAAUCAUUCUUAUAAUUGGUAGCGGUAGGAUCCAUAUAUCAUAUACCCUUAUUUAUUCAGCUAGACUAAUCCUCGGUUUUAUCCUUUUCUUCAGUUCUUACAUAUGGUGUAGAUAUGCCUGAAUGUUUUGCAAUCUUCAUGCUCCUGGAAAUGCCCAAUUUUUAUUGUGUAAUUUAGUCCCAUGAGAGCCUAGCUGCAUUUGCCGCAUCCUCAUAACCAUCUCCUUUUCUCCACCCCUCUCUCCUCUACCUAGAAUCCUCACCGGACAUUGAUUUUCUGAUCUAUAUAUUUGUCAUUGUGUAUAUGUAUCCACUGGGUCCAAUUGAUUUUGUAGUAUUGGGUCUGUUGUGUUAGUACAAAUGAAGAUGGUGAAAUUGAGCUGGUCUUAUUUGAUAGGACGAGAUUAUUUUAGGUCAGUAUAAUUGUUGUUUCGGCCAGCAAUUUCUUGCACCAGUCCUAAUAGUUAUAUUGUACCCCCUUUUUACAUCCAAAUUGCGGAUCUUUAUUUGAUAGGAAACCUACAAAGUUUAGAAUUAUCAUCAGAAUCCAAUAGCUUUUAUAUCAGAAUAAGUUGUUGAGCUGGCAUGGUAUGCUUUUCACCUUUUUCAUUAAUAUCGACUGUAUUGAAACUUAUAGUUUGUAUAUUGCCUACAACUUUGUUUUAGCUGAUCUUUAAGAAAAUGCAGCAUGUCAGCCUAUACUUUAAUGCUUGAGAGUUGUAGUAAUACCCGUGUCUUCAUGGAGAUGCCAGUAUAUGACACUCCACAUGUUCUAUAUUUUUCAGAAUAGUGACUUAUAAAAAAGAAAUGCCCCUAAGUUUGUAUUAUAGAUAUGGCUACUUCUCCCUAAGUUACAAAAGGUUGAAGUAUGUUGUAUAUAAAUGAUUCUGGUUAGUUUUUGGAUCCCUGAAAAGGAUAUUCAUGUCCUGCUAGGCUGCUACCAUGUAAAAAUUGAUAUGCUAAGCCCUGCCCUUUAACCAUACAUAUGGGUUUUCAUUAUCAACCACAAAUAAACUCAUGCACGUAUUAGUUGAGCAUGUAUGCUAAAGAUUUUCUCUUCUGUUUUCGUAGAUUUUUAAAAGUACACUUUAACCUUGCAUGGCUUACAUAUUACUGUAUUAGACCUAAAUUUAAUUAAUUACACUUAUCCUGGUCCUAAAAUAUCAUUGGUAUGUGUAAAUUAAGAAAAUUUAAUGCCAACUUAUCAAUAUUUAUACUAAAGAUGCUAUUUCCCCCACAAAAAAAAACUUUUCAUGCCAAUGAGGCAAAAUCUCCGGUCUGAAUUCGCUUCUCAUUUCGUUUUGCUGGGUAGAUAGUGCCUGCAUACAUAUGAAAAAUUGUUAUAUCCAUUUACUGAGAGUUCAUUUGUACUACAUAUGAAAAAUGAUAUAUGCUUCAAGCCUAUGAUGCUGGCAAAAAUACCAUGGCCAAAUCAUUCUCCGAGGGGGCAUUGCUAAGCUACAUCUUAACUCAAUGCUUCCUAAAAAAGGACUCUUUCCGUUUCUGCAAUUUUCCAUUUUUUUCGAAAAUAUUUCAUCAACAUGGUUUUAUAUUCUUUUUGUUCUCAGAAGGCUGCGUGUGCAUGGAAAUUUACAUGUAUUUCUAUGCACAUGCAUUGGUCAUAAUAUCACGCCAUGACACAUUGUCGGUUCAUAGCCAUAAGAAACACGAUUAGUGUCUCACCAUUAUCAACUCACUGAAUUAUUACUUUUCUGUACCAACAUGCUUUAAUAUGGUGUGGUAGAAACCGUACCAUCGUUAGUGCUAUUAUUUCCUUUGAAGAGCCAUGCAAAAAAACGUUUGUUGGUAAUAUAGUGAUGCUUAAUAGAUUUGUUGUCUUCAAAUAUAGCUAAAUGUGAGCAAAACUAACAUCCUUUAGUUCUUGAGAUUUUUCUUAUACUUAGAGUUGCAAUUUGCAACAAUGCUCAUGAUCUUACAUUUGCUCUCAAAUACUUGUGUGUUUCUAUUCUAUCGUGGUUGUUGGAGACUUGUUACUUUUUGUGCUCAAAUAAAGGAAGGAAAUGAAGAAACAUGUGUGAUUUUAUCUAUGUCUCUCUACUAAUUACUCUAUUAUAAGUGUAAUUUCAGGCACAUUAACUUUAGUAAUUAUACUUAUUCAUUUGUUGGUUCAUGUACAAUGUGGAGAUUGUCUAGCUCAUGCUAACCUGACCUUAUUCAGAUUCUCUUAUCUUCUACUAUGUAUACUUAUGAAACUGUCACUCAUACUAUGUUGGUGGUCGAAAUGAACUUGCUAUUUUGUGCAACACUAGAAAAUAUUUCCUUCACCCUAAGAUACUACUAAAAAUCAUAUCAGGGUGGCCAUAAUUUUUCUGUGUAAAGGUGUGUUUGUUAGUGCGUUGUAGGUCUUGGUGUGCAAUACAAUUUUGUUAGGAAAAAUACCCUAUGUAACUUCUUGAUAUAUAUUUCAGCUAAUGUUUCUGCAUGAGUGUUGUAUUGUCUCAAUAGUUCGAUGUCUUGGUUAAGUUGUAAUGGUUUCAUUUUCAUAAUUAUUAUUUGUUCUUCAUAGGGCAUUAAUUAGUCUGAAAACAUGGUGAAAUUUUAGCUUAAUGUUUUACAUAUGAAUGAGUUACAUUGUCUCAAUACUUAGAUGCAUUAGUUAACUUGUAAUCGUUUCCAUAUAUAUGAAUAAGUAUUUGUUGUUCCUAGGGUGGUAAUGUACACAUUAUCCAUUUUCUUUAUCUGAAAUUUAGUAAAAUGCUUACUGUACUUUUUAUUGGUUGCCACUACCUGCUCAUGUAUACUCGUAUUUGUUAUAACUUCUGACUGAUUGUUCUUUUUAAUUGAUUUUACAGUAUCCAUGGUUAAUUCAUCUCUGACUUAUUGUUCUUUUAAUUGAUUUUGCAGUAUCCAUGGACAGUUAUAUAAAUUCUUAUUUAUACUUGAUGAUGUUAGUAAUGCCAACACUUUGUUGAAGCCAUGACUCUCAAGCACCCGGAAAUGACCUUCAAACUCUACACAUUUUUCCUGUCAUUCCACUACCACAGAUGUUCCUCUUAUUUGUAAUAAGUGAUUGACUGGAUUGCUGAUUUUUUAAUACAAUGUUUGUAGACACGAGGUUGUGCUUGCUGGCGUGAUGGCGCAUCCAGUGCUUGAUGAUGAUGACGAUCUGAUCGAGUACAGAGAGGAUCAUGAGUCUUAUGAUACUUUGAGAAAUGCAAAUUGUGAUUUAUACAAGAGUCGCCCGCUUUUAGGUUGAAAGCUUGAUAUUUAGUCUAGAAUGUUACUAUUGUGUGUGACACUGAUCUACAUGUUUGUCAUGGAUUUUUGUUGCCCACAUUGCUGCAUUACUUAUUGGUUCAUCCGUA